RNAcentral lists this long non-coding RNA (1472 nucleotides) under Homo sapiens (human). Its description in RNAcentral is "HSALNT0346601". Lineage: Eukaryota; Metazoa; Chordata; Mammalia; Primates; Hominidae. The record is from RNAcentral.
UGGGCAUGGCCAAGGUAGAAGUCACCCAGGUGCUGGGCCCCUGUAUAUGUCAUAAUCCGACCUGUCAGCCAGGACCAGGUAGAAAGUCAAAUAACCUAGGCCCUGCAACAUUGCACCCAGGUAAGAGAGCCAAAUCACCUAAGUGCUGGACCCAGGAAUGGAUUACUGUCUAUCCUACUUCCCCAAAAGAGAAUUAACAGCAUAGAAAUUAUGCCUAAAAGCCAGGUAUUUAUAUACCAGGUCUUGUUUCCCCUUUACAUCUAUUGAUCCAAACCAAUAAAACCGCAACCUUUCUCAUAAGGAAAUCCUUUGUUUCCUUCAGAUGGCAUCAGAAGUGGGAUCUGAAGCAGAGCUUCUAAUGACUCCCAGGAGUGCUGAGUGACCAAGCAAGGUACCUGCCGGGCCCACAGUGCCCACUGCUUUCUCGCAGCAACUGGGGAUCAUGGAAAGUUCUCAGAUUUUGAAGUUCCACGGAUUUGUGUUUUGAGCGCUCCAAGUUUCUUUGAGCAAAUUUCUGAUCCAAACUGGGUUUGGAAGUCGUGACCAAAACUGGACUGGGUCAAGGAUAGAAUAUGGUAAUUAACUGUCUUGGAUCCAGUUAGAGGCCUCUUACAUCUGACGGGGUCAAAAAGAACCCAGGUUUCUCUUACUGAUAACUCUGGAUUGAGUUGUUUCCAUUAAAUCAACAAUAUUAAAUGUCUUGGGGUGGAGCCAAGAUGGCCAAAUAAGAACAGCUCCAGUCUACAACUCCCAGCAUGAGCGACGCAGAAGACGGGUGAUUUCUGCAUUUCCAACUGAGCUACCGGAGUUUUAGCCAAUUCAGAUGCUUUGUUCCCCACAAUUUGGAACAUUCCUUUGGAUGUGACCAAGUCAGGAAAAGAUGGUCAUACUUCAUGGGAGAAAUGUGAAACAACAAAACCCCAAACAUAAACAAAAACAGUUUAGCAAAACAAACAAAUUCAUAUGAAUACCAAGUGUUCUAACAGUAAGGAGAAAUUAAAACCAGCUGGUUGGUAAUCUUAACUUUUAGUCAUUAAGGAACAUUUUUAAGACAAAACUCUAAUUCAGCUACUUACCUGGAAAUAAAGCUCAGGCUGAUGAUCGCUCUCUACCAUCAUAGAGAGGCAGGAAAAAACUCACACUCACCUUCUCUGUCAGAAGCAAGUUGAAACUCAAGAAAGAAGGUGCCUGCUCUCCAUCGUCAUGGAAGCAGGAAAACUUGCCUUCCUUGUUGGAAAUGAGUAAAACUUCAGAAAAGGAGUUGUACAGCAAAAUAACUUCAAAUAGCAACCAAAUUUUGGGAGAUCAGGGACUCUCUGGAGGGGAGAAGCUCCCCAAGCUCCACAAAUUAGCCUAUUGGCUUGAGAAAUAAAGAUAACCCAGGUUGGUAUCAAGCAAAAAUAAAAGAUUUAUCAAAGGUCAGGGCCAUCUUUGUAAUGUCCUUCUCUGCCUUUUUUUUAAUCUUUAUUGGU